Molecule: ribosomal RNA, 562 nt
Filed under: uncultured Bifidobacterium sp.
Lineage: Bacteria; Bacillati; Actinomycetota; Actinomycetes; Bifidobacteriales; Bifidobacteriaceae
Description: bacterial SSU rRNA
Rfam family: Bacterial small subunit ribosomal RNA
Source: RNAcentral
UCCUGGAAACGGGUGGUAAUACCGGAUGCUCCGCCCCACCGCAUGGUGGGGUGGGAAAUGCUUUUUGCGGCAUGGGAUGGGGUCGCGUCCUAUCAGCUUGUUGGCGGGGUGAUGGCCCACCAAGGCGUUGACGGGUAGCCGGCCUGAGAGGGUGACCGGCCACAUUGGGACUGAGAUACGGCCCAGACUCCUACGGGAGGCAGCAGUGGGGAAUAUUGCACAAUGGGCGCAAGCCUGAUGCAGCGACGCCGCGUGCGGGAUGGAGGCCUUCGGGUUGUAAACCGCUUUUGUUCAAGGGCAAGGCACGGCUUCGGGCCGUGUUGAGUGGAUUGUUCGAAUAAGCACCGGCUAACUACGUGCCAGCAGCCGCGGUAAUACGUAGGGUGCGAGCGUUAUCCGGAUUUAUUGGGCGUAAAGGGCUCGUAGGCGGUUCGUCGCGUCCGGUGUGAAAGUCCAUCGCCUACCGGUGGAUCUGCGCCGGGUACGGGCGGGCUGGAGUGCGGUAGGGGAGACUGGAAUUCCCGGUGUAACGGUGGAAUGUGUAGAUAUCGGGAAGAACACC